GCGGGCGAGCGCGCUAGCGGUCGGCGGCGUUGCUGGCGGGAGAGACUGCAACGCCUAUGUCUGAGGAGCGAUGCCGAGAGAAAUCAUCACCCUACAGUUGGGCCAGUGCGGCAAUCAGAUUGGGUUCGAGUUCUGGAAACAGCUAUGUGCUGAGCAUGGCAUCAGCCCCGAGGGCAUCGUAGAGGAGUUCGCCACCGAGGGCACUGACCGCAAGGACGUCUUUUUCUACCAGGCCCUGCCUGGCUGACUACCCCUCAGAGCACAGAUCAGGGACCUCAUCAAUCACUCGCAUACACAUGCACUGUCUGUUGGCUUAGGGGCGGGUUUACUUCUUUGAGAGUAUUUAUCUUUAAUAAAGCACUGGAUGU
RNAcentral lists this long non-coding RNA (368 nucleotides) under Rattus norvegicus (Norway rat). RNAcentral describes it as "long non-coding RNA NONRATT004892". Lineage: Eukaryota; Metazoa; Chordata; Mammalia; Rodentia; Muridae. The record is from RNAcentral.